This 280-nucleotide unclassified non-coding RNA is filed under the name Hevea brasiliensis (rubber tree). Lineage: Eukaryota; Viridiplantae; Streptophyta; Magnoliopsida; Malpighiales; Euphorbiaceae. The record is from RNAcentral.
CAAGAAGUUCCUACAGGAAAAUAAUGGCUACUCAGCAUUCAACAUAAAGGGCACUCAACAAUUAUAAACAGAUAACAAUCAAGGAAAAACAAGAAACUUAUCAUGUCCACAUAAUUAUGUGUCAGAUACAUGGAAUCUGACGCUAAAAAGAAUUACCUCUACUCCAGAUAUUACAUCAUUUGACUAAAAUAUCAGUUUCAACAAGCUUAUCAAUAAAUAAUACAAUAUAGAAAGUAGAAGUUCCAACUGAGACAUUAAGAAAUGCAAGCAACAGCUCAAG